This 307-nucleotide unclassified non-coding RNA is filed under the name Zea mays. RNAcentral describes it as "misc RNA Zm00001eb261320". The record is from RNAcentral. Lineage: Eukaryota; Viridiplantae; Streptophyta; Magnoliopsida; Poales; Poaceae.
CCGCCUCCAUCCCGUUCUCCGGUCGGCGUCUUCCUCCUUCCCCCAGCCGGCGAGCUCGCCGCCACCUCCCUCACCCUUCCCUCCCGGGGCGCACCUGCCCCUGGCGCGGCUCGGCGCGGGCGUGGCUGCCCGGCCUCGGCACCGCCUCCAUCCCGUUCUCCGGCCGGCGUCUUCCUCCUUCCCCCAGCCGGCGAGCUCGCCGCCACCUCCCUCACCCUUCCCUCCCGGGGCGCACCUGCCCCUGGCGCGGCUCGGCGCGGGCGUGGCUGCCCGGCCUCGGCACGGCAGCCCCCGGCCCCGACGGCGC